Molecule: ribosomal RNA, 465 nt
Filed under: uncultured bacterium
Lineage: Bacteria
Description: SSU rRNA
Rfam family: Bacterial small subunit ribosomal RNA
Source: RNAcentral
AGGAUCAACGCUGGCGGCGUGCCUAAAACAUGCAAGUCGGACGGUGUCCUUCGGGGCACAGUGGCGGACGGCUGAGUAGCACGUGGGCGACCUGCCGCGAGGUGGGGGAUAACCCUCCGAAAGGGGGGCUAAGACCGCAUAGGUUCUGGAGGUCGGACUGCAGAACAAAGCUCUUAGGAGCGCCUUGCGAGGGGCCCGCGGCCGAUUAGCUAGUUGGUGGGGUAACGGCCUACCAAGGCCACGAUCGGUAGCCGGUCUGAGAGGAUGACCAGCCACACUGGGACUGAGACACGGCCCAGACUCCUACGGGAGGCAGCAGUGGGGAAUAUUGGACAAUGGGCGCAAGCCUGAUCCAGCCAUGCCGCGUGGGUGAAGAAGGCCUUAGGGUUGUAAACCCCUUUCAGCGGGGAAGAUAAUGACGGUACCCGCAGAAGAAGUCCCGGCUAACUCCGCGCCAGCAGCCGC